This 279-nucleotide long non-coding RNA is filed under the name Vigna radiata. RNAcentral's name for it is "long non-coding RNA (VRAD_LNC007731)". Lineage: Eukaryota; Viridiplantae; Streptophyta; Magnoliopsida; Fabales; Fabaceae. The record is from RNAcentral.
ACCCAGAAUUAGGAAAGGAUGUAGAGAAUAAUCCAGAGAGAUAGGGAGGUCAGAGAAAAUUCAUACCAGGCAUAAAACUUUCCCUCAAGCGUAAUCCUCCAAAUAUCCACUCCUUCUGCGCUGGCGUGUGCUCCUUCUAANGGUUUUUNNGGUGCAAGGAUUCUCUCUCAUCACCUGAUCCUUGCUAGUAUUAAGUGUGCAAUCUCCUUUUUGUCCUUGAUUUUUUAUACAUGUUACAUUACCCUCUCCAUCAAAAGCAACCUUGUCCUNAAGGUUGAA